This 253-nucleotide ribosomal RNA is filed under the name uncultured bacterium. RNAcentral's name for it is "partial 16S ribosomal RNA". It matches the Rfam family "Bacterial small subunit ribosomal RNA", at positions 524 to 776 of the family's 1533-position model. The record is from RNAcentral.
UACGGGGGGGGCAAGCGUUGUUCGGAAUUACUGGGCGUAAAGGGCUCGUAGGCGGCCAACUAAGUCAGACGUGAAAUCCCUCGGCUUAACCGGGGAACUGCGUCUGAUACUGGAUGGCUUGGGUUCGGGAGAGGGAUGCGGAAUUCCAGGUGUAGCGGUGAAAUGCGUAGAUAUCAGGAGGAACACCUGUGGUGUAGACAGCUUACUGGACCAUUACUGACACUGAGACACGAAAGCGUGGGUAGCAAACAGG